RNAcentral lists this ribosomal RNA (499 nucleotides) under uncultured bacterium. RNAcentral's name for it is "partial 16S ribosomal RNA". It matches the Rfam family "Bacterial small subunit ribosomal RNA", at positions 28 to 507 of the family's 1533-position model. The record is from RNAcentral.
GACGAACGCUGGCGGCGUGCUUAACACAUGCAAGUCGAACGGGCCCGCCCCUGUUUUUGGGGGUGGGUUGAGUGGCGAACGGGUGAGUAUCCCGUGAGUAACCUGCCCCCUGCUCCUGGAUAACUGCUUGAAAGGGCGGCUAAUACGGGGUGUGCCGGCUGGUCCGCAUGGGCCUGGUCGGGAUAGUUUCAUCUUCGGGUGUUUCGGUGGGGGAUGGGCUCGCGGCCUAUCAGCUUGUUGGUGGGGUGAUGGCCCACCAAGGCGGUGACGGGUAGCCGGCCUGAGAGGGUGGGCGGCCACACUGGGACUGAGACACGGCCCAGACUCCUGCGGGAGGCAGCAGUGGGGGGUAUUGCACAAUGGGCGGAAGCCUGAUGCAGCGACGUCGCGUGAGGGAUGGAGGCCUUCGGGUUGUGAACCUCUUUCUCCGGUGGUGAAGGCCCUGUCCGUUGCGGCGGGGUUGACGGUAGCCGGGGAUGAAGCGCCGGCUAACUACGUG